GGCCGCGGGAAUUCGAUUAGGAUGAACGCUGGCGGCGUGCCUAACACAUGCAAGUCGAGCGAUUCUCUUCGGAGAAGAGCGGCGGACGGGUGAGUAACGCGUGGGUAACCUGCCCUGCACACACGGAUAACAUACCGAAAGGUAUGCUAAUACGGGAUAAUGUACUUUUGUCGCAUGGCAAAAGUAUCAAAGCUCUGGCGGUACAGGAUGGACCCGCGUCUGAUUAGCUAGUUGGAGAGGUAAUGGCUCACCAAGGCAACGAUCAGUAGCCGACCUGAGAGGGUGAUCGGCCACAUUGGAACUGAGACACGGUCCAAACUCCUACGGGAGGCAGCAGUGGGGAAUAUUGCACAAUGGGCGAAAGCCUGAUGCAGCAACGCCGCGUGAGCGAUGAAGGCCUUCGGGUCGUAAAGCUCUGUCCUCAAGGAAGAUAAUGACGGUACUUGAGGAGGAAGCCCCGGCUAACUACGUGCCAGCAGCCGCGGUAAUACGUAGGGGGCUAGCGUUAUCCGGAAUUACUGGGCGUAAAGGGUGCGUAGGUGGUUUCUUAAGUCAGAGGUGAAAGGCUACGGCUCAACCGUAGUAAGCCUUUGAAACUGAGAAACUUGAGUGCAGGAGAGGAGAGUAGAAUUCCUAGUGUAGCGGUGAAAUGCGUAGAUAUUAGGAGGAAUACCAGUUGCGAAGGCGGCUCUCUGGACUGUAACUGACACUGAGGCACGAAAGCGUGGGGAGCAAACAGGAUUAGAUACCCUGGUAGUCCACGCCGUAAACGAUGAGUACUAGGUGUCGGGGGUUACCCCCCUCGGUGCCGCAGCUAACGCAUUAAGUACUCCGCCUGGGAAGUACGCUCGCAAGAGUGAAACUCAAAGGAAUUGACGG
This 879-nucleotide ribosomal RNA is filed under the name uncultured bacterium. RNAcentral describes it as "bacterial SSU rRNA". It matches the Rfam family "Bacterial small subunit ribosomal RNA", at positions 1 to 916 of the family's 1533-position model. The record is from RNAcentral.